This 639-nucleotide ribosomal RNA is filed under the name Triticum aestivum (bread wheat). Its description in RNAcentral is "partial small subunit ribosomal RNA". Lineage: Eukaryota; Viridiplantae; Streptophyta; Magnoliopsida; Poales; Poaceae. The record is from RNAcentral.
AUGAUAGCAAAGUCAAAUGACACAGGAUAUAUUUUAUGUCAUCCGUUGACAUACAGUAUUUCAUACUACCAAGAUACUGUUGCAAUCGCAUACAAAGGGCAGUAUGUGACAUUUGGGAAAAUUUUGUCUGGCUUAACUGCAAUUGACCUCUCAAAUAAUGCACUUGAUGGUGACAUUCCGGAAUCAGUUGGAAGACUAGUUUCACUACACAUACUGAACAUGUCACACAAUACACUUAAUGGGCGGAUUCCAUCACAAAUUGGUGAGAUGCGUGAGUUGGAGUCAUUAGACCUAUCCUGGAAUGAGCUUUCUGGGGAGAUUCCAGAAGAGCUAACAGAUUUAUCAUUUCUUGGCACCCUGAACUUGUGUGGGAACAAGCUGGAUGGUAGGAUACCACAGUCACAUCAGUUUGCAACAUUUGAGAACACUUCAUAUGAAGGGAAUGCCGGGCUCUGUGGGCCACCUUUAUCCAAACCAUGUGGAAAUUUGAGUAAUCCAAAUGAGGCACAAGUAAACAAAUCGAAGGAUCAUGUGGACGUUAUUUUGUUUCUCUUUGUUGGAGUGGGCUUUGGAGUUGGAUUCACAGCAGGUAUUCUGCUGAAAUGGUGUAAAAUCGGCAAAUGGUUCCGGAUUGUGUGA